UGAAGAGGGAAACAACCCAGACCGCCAGCUAAGGUCCCAAAGUCAUGGUUAAGUGGGAAACGAUGUGGGAAGGCCCAGACAGCCAGGAUGUUGGCUUAGAAGCAGCCAUCAUUUAAAGAAAGCGUAAUAGCUCACUGGUCGAGUCGGCCUGCGCGGAAGAUGUAACGGGGCUAAACCAUGCACCGAAGCUGCGGCAGCGACACUCAGGUGUUGUUGGGUAGGGGAGCGUUCUGUAAGCCUGCGAAGGUGGCCUGUGAGGGUUGCUGGAGGUAUCAGAAGUGCGAAUGCUGACAUAAGUAACGAUAAAGCGGGUGAAAAGCCCGCUCGCCGGAAGACCAAGGGUUCCUGUCCAACGUUAAUCGGGGCAGGGUGAGUCGACCCCUAAGGCGAGGCCGAAAGGCGUAGUCGAUGGGAAACGGGUUAAUAUUCCCGUACUUGGUGUUACUGCGAAGGGGGGACGGAGAAGGCUAUGUUGGCCGGGCGACGGUUGUCCCGGUUUAAGCGUGUAGGUGUGUGUUCCAGGUAAAUCCGGUUCACUUUAACACUGAGGCGUGAUGACGAGGCACUACGGUGCUGAAGCAACAAAUGCCCUGCUUCCAGGAAAAGCCUCUAAGCAUCAGGUAACAUCAAAUCGUACCCCAAACCGACACAGGUGGUCAGGUAGAGAAUACCAAGGCGCUUGAGAGAACUCGGGUGAAGGAACUAGGCAAAAUGGUGCCGUAACUUCGGGAGAAGGCACGCUGACACGUAGGUGAAGUGAUUUACUCAUGGAGCUGAAGUCAGUCGAAGAUACCAGCUGGCUGCAACUGUUUAUUAAAAACACAGCACUGUGCAAACACGAAAGUGGACGUAUACGGUGUGACGCCUGCCCGGUGCCGGAAGGUUAAUUGAUGGGGUCAGCGCAAGCGAAGCUCCUGAUCGAAGCCCCGGUAAACGGCGGCCGUAACUAUAACGGUCCUAAGGUAGCGAAAUUCCUUGUCGGGUAAGUUCCGACCUGCACGAAUGGCGUAAUGAUGGCCAGGCUGUCUCCACCCGAGACUCAGUGAAAUUGAACUCGCUGUGAAGAUGCAGUGUACCCGCGGCAAGACGGAAAGACCCCGUGAACCUUUACUAUAGCUUGACACUGAACAUUGAGCCUUGAUGUGUAGGAUAGGUGGGAGGCUUUGAAGUGUGGACGCCAGUCUGCAUGGAGCCGGCCUUGAAAUACCACCCUUUAAUGUUUGAUGUUCUAACGUGGACCCGUGAUCCGGGUUGCGGACAGUGUCUGGUGGGUAGUUUGACUGGGGCGGUCUCCUCCUAAAGAGUAACGGAGGAGCACGAAGGUUGGCUAAUCCUGGUCGGACAUCAGGAGGUUAGUGCAAUGGCAUAAGCCAGCUUGACUGCGAGCGUGACGGCGCGAGCAGGUGCGAAAGCAGGUCAUAGUGAUCCGGUGGUUCUGAAUGGAAGGGCCAUCGCUCAACGGAUAAAAGGUACUCCGGGGAUAACAGGCUGAUACCGCCCAAGAGUUCAUAUCGACGGCGGUGUUUGGCACCUCGAUGUCGGCUCAUCACAUCCUGGGGCUGAAGUAGGUCCCAAGGGUAUGGCUGUUCGCCAUUUAAAGUGGUACGCGAGCUGGGUUUAGAACGUCGUGAGACAGUUCGGUCCCUAUCUGCCGUGGGCGCUGGAGAACUGAGGGGGGCUGCUCCUAGUACGAGAGGACCGGAGUGGACGCAUCACUGGUGUUCGGGUUGUCAUGCCAAUGGCACUGCCCGGUAGCUAAAUGCGGAAGAGAUAAGUGCUGAAAGCAUCUAAGCACGAAACUUGCCCCGAGAUGAGUUCUCCCUGAGACUUUAGGUCUCCUGAAGGAACGUUGAAGACGACGACGUUGAUAGGCCGGGUGUGUAAGCGCAGCGAUGCGUUGAGCUAACCGGUACUAAUGAACCGUGAGGCUUAACCUUACA
This 1940-nucleotide ribosomal RNA is filed under the name Salmonella enterica. Its description in RNAcentral is "partial 23S ribosomal RNA". It matches the Rfam family "Bacterial large subunit ribosomal RNA", at positions 1011 to 2925 of the family's 2925-position model. The record is from RNAcentral. Lineage: Bacteria; Pseudomonadati; Pseudomonadota; Gammaproteobacteria; Enterobacterales; Enterobacteriaceae.